This 253-nucleotide ribosomal RNA is filed under the name uncultured bacterium. RNAcentral describes it as "partial 16S ribosomal RNA". It matches the Rfam family "Bacterial small subunit ribosomal RNA", at positions 524 to 776 of the family's 1533-position model. The record is from RNAcentral.
UACGGAGGGUGCAAGCGUUAUUCGGAUUCACUGGGCGUAAAGGGCGCGCAGGCGGCCUUCUAAGUCGAACGUGAAAUCCCCGGGCUCAACCCGGGAACUGCGUCCGAUACUGGGAGGCUUGAAUCCGGGAGAGGGAUGUGGAAUUCCAGGUGUAGCGGUGAAAUGCGCAGAUAUCAGGAGGAACACCGGUGGCGAAGGCGGGUUGCUGGGCUGACACUGACGCUGAGGCGCGAAAGCCAGGGGAGCGAACGGG